This 300-nucleotide ribosomal RNA is filed under the name uncultured Sulfurimonas sp. RNAcentral's name for it is "bacterial SSU rRNA". It matches the Rfam family "Bacterial small subunit ribosomal RNA", at positions 496 to 795 of the family's 1533-position model. Lineage: Bacteria; Pseudomonadati; Campylobacterota; Epsilonproteobacteria; Campylobacterales; Sulfurimonadaceae. The record is from RNAcentral.
GACUGUGCGGUUCGAGACGCGACGGUAAGACCGAGGGGGUGAGCGUUGUUCGUGCUGACUGGGCGUAAAGCGUACGGAGGCAGACGAGAUCGAUGAGGGUUGAAUCCCGCGGCUGAACCGCGGAACGGCCUUCUAAUCUAUUGGGCUGGAGUUCGCGAGAGGUGAUGGGAAUUCCGAGUGUAGAGGUGAUAUUCGUAGAUAUUCGGAGGAACACCAGUGGCGAAGGCGGCUCACUGGCUCGAUACUGACGCUGAGGUGCGAAAGCGUGGGGAGCAAACAGGAUUAGAUACCCCGGUAGUC